Long non-coding RNA from Schistocerca gregaria, 342 nucleotides. RefSeq lists it as uncharacterized. The record is from RefSeq and is a predicted model, not a curated record. Lineage: Eukaryota; Metazoa; Arthropoda; Insecta; Orthoptera; Acrididae. The transcript is spliced from 3 exons.
UCCCUGCAGAAGAAUGGUCGCCACUCGUGCGGGGCGUCCAUCCUCAGCGACUACUGGGCGCUCACUGCGGCUCACUGCGUUUACGCACUCGUCAGUGGCACCGUACUGGAGUUGCUGUCAGGCACCAUCACUCUGGACGACGGAGGCACCCGGCACUCCGUAACGUCCAUCGUCAUCCACCCGCAGUACGAUGAGUCCGACUCCUGGGUCAACGAUGUCGCAGUGCUUAGGGUGUGGACGCCGUUCCCGCUGAACGGUGAGACAGUGGCGCCGAUCCUGCUGCCUGCGUAGGGAGAGGACACACCUGCCGGAUCGCCAGUCACCGUGGUCGGUUGGGGGCGG